AGAUUGAACGCUAGCGGGAUGCUUUACACAUGCAAGUCGAACGGCAGCGCGGACUUCGGUCUGGCGGCGAGUGGCGAACGGGUGAGUAAUAUAUCGGAACGUGCCCAGUAGCGGGGGAUAACUACGCGAAAGCGUGGCUAAUACCGCAUACGCCCGUACGGGGGAAAGGGGGGAUUCUUCGGAACCUCUCACUAUUGGAGCGGCGAUAUCAGAUUAGCUAGUUGGUGAGGUAAAGGCUCACCAAGGCGACGAUCUGUAGCUGGUUUGAGAGGACGACAGCCACACUGGGACUGAGACACGGCCCAGACUCCGUACGGGAGGCAGCAGGUAGGGUAAUUUGGAACAAGU
RNAcentral lists this ribosomal RNA (348 nucleotides) under uncultured soil bacterium. Its description in RNAcentral is "bacterial SSU rRNA". It matches the Rfam family "Bacterial small subunit ribosomal RNA", at positions 26 to 373 of the family's 1533-position model. The record is from RNAcentral.